GUUAAGGUGGCAGAGCCCGGUAAUUGCGUNAGACUUAAGCCUUUAUACUCAGAGAUUCAAAUUCUCUCCUUAACA
Molecule: transfer RNA, 75 nt
Filed under: Hippotragus niger variani
Lineage: Eukaryota; Metazoa; Chordata; Mammalia; Artiodactyla; Bovidae
Description: tRNA-Leu
Source: RNAcentral